AAGGAAUAUUGGUCAAUGGACGCAAGUCUGAACCAGCCAUGCCGCGUGAAGGAUGAAGGUCCUCUGGAUUGUAAACUUCUUUUAUAUGGGACGAAACCCGGGAAUUCUUUCCCGAUUGACGGUACCAUAAGAAUAAGCACCGGCUAACUCCGUGCCAGCAGCCGCGGUAAUACGGAGGGUGCAAGCGUUAUCCGGAUUCACUGGGUUUAAAGGGUGCGUAGGAGGGUAGGUAAGUCAGUGGUGAAAUCUUCGAGCUUAACUCGGAAACUGCCGUUGAUACUAUCUAUCUUGAAUACCGUGGAGGUGAGCGGAAUAUGUCAUGUAGCGGUGAAAUGCUUAGAUAUGACAUAGAACACCAAUUGCGAAGGCAGCUCGCUACACGAAUAUUGACUCUGAGGCACGAAAGCGUGGGGAUCAAACAGGAUUAGAUACCCUGGUAG
RNAcentral lists this ribosomal RNA (440 nucleotides) under uncultured Flavisolibacter sp. RNAcentral's name for it is "bacterial SSU rRNA". It matches the Rfam family "Bacterial small subunit ribosomal RNA", at positions 356 to 793 of the family's 1533-position model. The record is from RNAcentral. Lineage: Bacteria; Pseudomonadati; Bacteroidota; Chitinophagia; Chitinophagales; Chitinophagaceae.